Molecule: RNA transcript, 1796 nt
Organism: Chenopodium quinoa (quinoa)
Lineage: Eukaryota; Viridiplantae; Streptophyta; Magnoliopsida; Caryophyllales; Amaranthaceae
Exons: 14
Source: RefSeq, a predicted model, not a curated record
UAAACAAAUGUCAACCAAAAAAUAUAAAGUUUACCUCUACAACUACAGUAGCUCACUUUUUCUAUGAAUAAUCAUCCAUAGACGAUAGUCCAUAUUGGCAUGGCCUUCACCUUAUCUUGCUGCAAUUCACUCUUCCUUCAUAACCAACACGUGAAAGUGAGUAAUCAUGUCAGCAACAACAACAACCACCUUAAAAGUGUCAAAAACCUCGUACUCUCAACUGGGGUUCCUUCAAUUGCAACCCCACCUCAAGAAUCCCUUCAAAAGGGCAAUUGGGUCAAGCUCAUUUGUGGUGCUAGCUUUGAGGAUGUUGUUGACAUAAGGAAUAUGUCUCUAGUUUACACCCUUGCUGGAGUUGAUUGUAUUGAUUGUGCGGCGGAUGCAUCGGUUGUGAGUGCGGUUAAUGAAGGAAUUGAAGCGGCCAUGAACAUAGUGUCACUUCGCCGGCCAUGGGUUAUGAUUAGUGUCAAUGAUGAUGAAGACCUUCAUUUUCGUAAAGCUGCCUUUGAUCCAUCGGAGUGUCCACUGGAUUGCUCGAGACCAUGCGAGGCUGUUUGUCCUGCCAAUGCUAUUGCAUUAAAGAAAGGAGAAUCCUUGGAGGGAGGAGUGAUUAAUGAGCGAUGCUAUGGGUGUGGACGUUGCCUUCCAGUCUGCCCAUACGAUAAAAUAAAGGCAGUUACCUACUUGAGAGAUGCUGUUUCUACUGCUCAACUGGUCAGAAGAACUGAUGUUGAUGCUAUUGAAAUCCAUACAAAUGGAAGGCAGACUGAUUCCUUUAAGGAAUUCUGGAAUGGAAUGGGAGAUUCUGUUAGCCACCUGAGAUUAGUGGCUAUAAGCUUACCAGAUGUGGGUGAAGCGACUACAACCUUAAUGAACACGAUGUUCUCAGUCAUGAAACCAAAUUUGAGUUGCUACAAUCUAUGGCAGUUGGAUGGACGCCCAAUGAGUGGAGACAUUGGACGAGGGGCCACCAGGGAAGUACUUGCUUUUGCUGUUCGCUUGGCUGCUGCCGAGGAUAAACCCCCUGGCUUUCUUCAAUUGGCUGGUGGCACUAAUGCUCACACCAUAAAUGGGUUGAAGGAACGGGGAAUUUUUCAAACCAUGAGGAAUUCUGAAGAUGGGAUCUUAAAUGAAGAUAUACCUGGUUCAUCAGAAUCAUCACUCAUUGGCGGUAUAGCAUAUGGUGGUUAUGCUAGGAAGAUUGUUGGAAGAAUAUUGAGAUCCAUGCAAUCACAGCAUGGUCUUGCUUAUAUAGAGGAUUGUCCUGUGUAUCUAAGUGAGGCACUUAGAGAAGCCCUUGCUCUGGUUGGAUCGGUCAAAUGCUAUACUCACCUUGGCGUCCAUCAAGAAUAAUCAAGGUCACAGCUAUAUUUAUGUAGUUUCGUCUUUUCUCAGAAAAUCAAUGAUCUUUUAACUGCCUAUUAUCAGUAUUCCUGUCACAUAUAAGUUUAUGAAGCUGCUAUUGUCACCUUUGCUCUGAUUUAAGCCUGGGAAACUAUAAAUCUACGAUCCUCUGAACCGGAUUCAAGUAUCGACUUAGGUAUGGGUUUAUAUAUAUCUGACAUGGGAUAUACUUAAGUUUUACAGUUUGGGGACUCAAUUGAGUGUCCUUAUGAACGAAUACAUGGAAAUAAUUCUUUGUUAUACAUGUACAUAGAAGUAGAAAAGUAUUAAUGUUCCUUUCUUUAGCCAAAUUUGAUGUGUUCAAGUGCACAUCCAUUAUUCCUCAUUCCUGUUGAAACAUCACAAAUUAGAAAUAUACCAAUAGGUCCUAGUUGGAUCAAAUUAUAAAUAUA